GGUAAGAUGGCUGAGGUAAGGCAUUAGACUGUAAAUCUAAACACAGAGGAUUUCUCCCUCUUUUUACCA
RNAcentral lists this transfer RNA (69 nucleotides) under Rhizomys sinensis (Chinese bamboo rat). RNAcentral's name for it is "tRNA-Tyr". It matches the Rfam family "tRNA". From Rfam's summary of the family: Transfer RNA (tRNA) molecules are approximately 80 nucleotides in length. Their secondary structure includes four short double-helical elements and three loops (D, anti-codon, and T loops). Lineage: Eukaryota; Metazoa; Chordata; Mammalia; Rodentia; Spalacidae. The record is from RNAcentral.